RNAcentral lists this ribosomal RNA (305 nucleotides) under uncultured bacterium. Its description in RNAcentral is "bacterial SSU rRNA". It matches the Rfam family "Bacterial small subunit ribosomal RNA", at positions 337 to 640 of the family's 1533-position model. The record is from RNAcentral.
UCCUACGGGAGGCAGCAGUGAGGAAUAUUGGUCAAUGGUCGGGAGACUGAACCAGCCAAGCCGCGUGAGGGAGGAAGGUACAGAGUAUCGUAAACCUCUUUUGUCAGGGAACAAAGGCGGGGACGUGUCCCCGGAUGAGUGUACCUGAAGAAAAAGCAUCGGCUAACUCCGUGCCAGCAGCCGCGGGAAUACGGAGGAUGCGAGCGUUAUCCGGAUUUAUUGGGUUUAAAGGGUGCGCAGGCGGUCUGUUAAGUCAGCGGUCAAAGCCCGGGGCUCAACCCCGGCCCGCCGUUGAAACUCGCCGG